UAAAUUUUGUUUCAACACAGUUUUUAAUAUAAAGAUGGAAGAGGAAGUGAUGUAAAGAUGUCAGAUCAUUACCUAAUCUGAAUGUCCAAGAACAACUGGGGUUAGUUGAUAAAUCACACGAAAAGAUGAAAACAUGCCAGUUUAGAGAUCUGCUCCACAGUUUCAUCUAAAUUCAUCACACUAAAUUACUCCACAUAUCCCUCAGUUUAUUAAUAUUUAUAUAUACAGAGAGUCAUGGAGGCAGCAGAGUGCUGACCUGCCCUCUCUGCAGGACUUUUACACCAGACCUGCUGGAUCUUCCAGGACUCUACCAGCCCAGAAACUGUUCCGGCUGCUGAACUCAGGCAGAUGGUUCUGCAGCCUGAGAACCAAAACAUAGACCCUCAACCAUGCUCCACAAUCUGAAAUAGCCCCGCCAUCACAUCAGCCACUAUUAUCUUUCCAUCCAGGUACCUUCAGCUUCAAAACCCCAAGACAUCUUCCACCCUUCCUGUUUUCCUACAGAUUCUCCAGUGAGGAGGUCACCCUCUUCCUCCCCCACCUCACCAGGAGACACAGCAAGGACAUCAUCAUGUUAGUUUGUGAAGGGUUUCAUUCUGGUUGAAUCCUACCUUUUCAGAGUAAGAAAUGGUUUUCUUUAA
Molecule: long non-coding RNA, 641 nt
Organism: Melanotaenia boesemani (Boeseman's rainbowfish)
Lineage: Eukaryota; Metazoa; Chordata; Actinopteri; Atheriniformes; Melanotaeniidae
Exons: 2
Source: RefSeq, a predicted model, not a curated record